RNAcentral lists this ribosomal RNA (420 nucleotides) under uncultured bacterium. RNAcentral describes it as "bacterial SSU rRNA". It matches the Rfam family "Bacterial small subunit ribosomal RNA", at positions 355 to 787 of the family's 1533-position model. The record is from RNAcentral.
UGGGGAAUAUUGCACAAUGGGGGAGGACCCUGAUGCAGCAACGCCGCGUGAAGGAAGACGGUUUUCGGAUUGUAAACUUCUAUCAAUAGGGACGAAAGAGAUGACGGUACCUAAAUAAGAAGCCCCGGCUAACUACGUGCCAGCAGCCGCGGUAAUACGUAGGGGGCAAGCGUUAUCCGGAAUUACUGGGUGUAAAGGGUGAGUAGGCGGCACUGUAAGUAAGAUGUGAAAGCCUUAGGCUUAACCUGAGGAUUGCAUUAUAAACUGCAGAGCUAGAGUACAGGAGAGGAAAGCGGAAUUCCUAGUGUAGCGGUGAAAUGCGUAGAUAUUAGGAAGAACACCAGUGGCGAAGGCGGCUUUCUGGACUGGAAACUGACGCUGAGGCACGAAAGCGUGGGGAGCGAACAGGAUUAGAUACCC